UCCUACCUAAGCUGAUAACCCUAGCGGCUA
RNAcentral lists this small RNA (30 nucleotides) under Bombyx mori (domestic silkworm). RNAcentral's name for it is "ovarian small RNA-27696". Lineage: Eukaryota; Metazoa; Arthropoda; Insecta; Lepidoptera; Bombycidae. The record is from RNAcentral.